GCACAGCAUAAAUAGCUUACCAAGACAUGUAAAACACCAUGAGAUGGCAGGUAUUAAAACUAGGAACAAAUAAAUACAAAGAAAAAAGAGACUUUAAAAAAGAAAGAUGGAAAUAGGGAUCUAAAAUCGCACCAGGAAUGAACCUUAAAAAUGUGAAAUACAAGACCUGUACCCUUCCUAAGGGUGAGCCACAAGUCUGACUCAAAACUGUUCAGCAGCCAACCCAAAAAGGAAAGUCUGGUCCGUUCUGAAGUUCACGGUGUCCAUGAGAUAAAACAGACAGAUGACGCAGGGAAGCACAACUAUUCUUGGAACUGAGACCAGACAAAAGUUACUCCCAAGGACACUCCUAGAGAGAUGACGGUGGUUCACAGCCUUACCGUUGCCCUGACGGCUCACCCUUGAAUGUUUUCCUGGGAGAAGCAAAGAAUCCUCCCAUGCUAAAUCCCAAUCUGGGGCUCGCCUGCCAUGUAUCAAGAGGACUAGACUUCUAGUUUUCAGCCUCUGGG
Molecule: long non-coding RNA, 509 nt
Filed under: Homo sapiens (human)
Lineage: Eukaryota; Metazoa; Chordata; Mammalia; Primates; Hominidae
Description: HSALNT0368490
Source: RNAcentral